RNAcentral lists this long non-coding RNA (2279 nucleotides) under Salmo salar (Atlantic salmon). Its description in RNAcentral is "lncRNA (ENSSSAG00000109301.1, ENSSSAG00000118760.1)". Lineage: Eukaryota; Metazoa; Chordata; Actinopteri; Salmoniformes; Salmonidae. The record is from RNAcentral.
UGGUGUGGGAUUGGUGUGGGCUAGCCUGUGUUGGGUUGGUGUGGGCUGGCCUGUGUUGGUGUGGCCUGGCCAGUGUUGUGUUGGUGUGGGCUAGCCUGUGUUGGGUUGGUGUGGGCUAGCCUGUGUUGGGUUGGUGUGGGAUUGCCUGUGUUGGGUUGGUGUGGGCUGGCCUGUGUUGUGUUGAUGUAGACUACCCUGUGUUGGGUUGGUGUGGGCUAGCCUGUGUUGGGUUGGUGUGGGGUUGGUGUGGGCUAGCCUGUGUUGGGUUGGUGUGGGGUUGGUGUGGGCUAGCCUGUGUUGGAUUGGUUUGGGGUUGGUGUGGGCUAGCCUGUGUGGGGUUGGUGUGGGCUAGCCUGUGUUGGGUUGGUGUGGGGUUGGUGUGGGCUAGCCUGUGUUGGAUUGGUUUGGGGUUGGUGUGUGCUAGCCUGUGUGGGGUUGGUGUGGGGUUGGUGUGGGGUUGGUGUGGGCUAGCCUGUGUUGGGUUGGUGUGGGGUUGGUGUGGGCUAGCCUGUGUUGGAUUGGUUUGGGGUUGGUGUGUGCUAGCCUGUGUGGGGUUGGUGUGGGCUAGCCUGUGUUGGGUUGGUGUGGGGUUGGUGUGGUGUGGGCUAGCCUGUGUUGGAUUGGUGUGGGGUUGGUGUGGGCUAGCCUGUGUGGGGUUGGUGUGGGCUAGCCUGUGUUGGGUUGGUGUGGGGUUGGUGUGGGCUAGCCUGUGUUGGGUUGGUGUGGGGUUGGUGUGGGCUAGCCUGUGUUGGGUUGGUGUGGGGUUGGUGUGGGCUAGCCUGUGUUGGGUUGGUGUGGGGUUGGUGUGGGCUAGCCCACCUUGCCCACCGAAUACCCACAUGGGGCCAAUGGGUUCAUGUUUACUGGGGAGUCAGAGAAAGAAAAGAGAGCCUUUCCUCACAGCUAUCUACCUGAAGCUUGAAUCCACAUAUUACUCAAUGCAGGUUGGACUGGACUGAGCCAGCCCAGAGAACAUAUUGAUAAAGGGGACUUUUCUAACGCCUUCAAAGGCCUGUCUUAAUGAAUUGGAUCCAGAGUUCCAAUCAGCUCAAAACAUUUUGUUUUAAUGUCAUAUAUAGAGCUGGUCUUCAUUCUAUUUUAACAAUCUUAAGAGCUGUCAUUUUAUUGUGAGGAACUGCAGUUUUAUCGGACAUCUUUUCUGUUUUGUCCUCUGUGUGAGGGAUCCUUCAAGUUCAGUAUGAGAAGCCUUAGUCAGUAGUCACAUUAACACUGUCUAACUUUUACUCAACAGUAGUACUACUCAUUUUUAAUAACUAAAUCCUAUCUGGGCUCGGGGAGUAGCUUACUUACACUGUGUGAACCUAUGAGGCUGUGUGUGUGUAUGAACCUAUGAGGCUGUGUGUGUGUAUGAACCUAUGAGGCUGUGUGUGUGUGUGUGUGUGUGUGUGUGUGUGUGUGUGUGUGUGUGUGUGUGUGUGUGUGUGUGUGUGUGUGUGUGUGUGUGUGUGUGUGUGUGUGUGUGUGUGUGUGUGUGUGUGUGUGUGUGUGUCUGACUUGACUUGACUUGACCUAGAAGGGGUGUCCUCCACUGUGACCACCAGGAAAGCGAUGAUGCCUUGCCGGGUAUGGGAUUCAGGAGCGGUAUCGGAGCUCAGAGGCCCGAAUUCUGUACUGGGAAUUCUGCCAUCACCACCAGUAAGAAAAUAAUUCCACUUUGGCUUAGAGGGGAGAAAGGUUUUGCUUUAGAGUCUUGGCCCCUGACUGUCGGUUAGUCAAGCAUAAACAGAUCAACAAAAACCAGAAAUGUUUAUAAUAUACAGUAGCAGCAGCUGCAAUAGGAUGGUUCAAUGCAGACUUUAAUUGAAAUAAUAUCAGUUUUCUUUCAAAUAUAUUGAAUGAAUCAAUUCCAGCCUCGUACCUGAGGUUGAAUAGAAAUGUAAUUACAUACAGUGACCAAUAGAGACCACCAGAGGCCCAGAAUAUAGAGAUGUGAGAUGAGAACUCAUCACACAUAGUUCAUGGUUGCAUGGGCCCAAGACCCUCAGUCCAUUGUGUGUGUGUGUGUGUGUGUGUCUGAUGGAGGUGUGUGUUUGUGUGUGUGUGUCUGAUGGAGACGUGUGUGUGUGUGUCUGAUGGAGGUGUGUGUUUGUGUGUGUGUGUCUGAUGGAGGUGUGUGUUUGUGUGUGUGUGUCUGAUGGAGGUUUGUGUGUGUGUGUGUGUCUGAUGGAGGUGUGUGUUUGUGUGUGUGUGUCUGAUGGAGGUUUGUGUGUGUGUGUGUCUGAUGGAGGUGUGUGUUUGUGUGUGUGCGUCUGAUGGAG